GAUGAACGCUGGCGGCGUGCCUAAUACAUGCAAGUCGAGCGAACAGACGAGGAGCUUGCUCCUUUGACGUUAGCGGCGGACGGGUGAGUAACACGUAGGUAACCUACCUAUAAGACUGGGAUAACUUCGGGAAACCGGAGCUAAUACCGGAUAAUAUUUCGAACCGCAUGGUUCGAUAGUGAAAGAUGGCUUUGCUGUCACUUAUAGAUGGACCGGCGCCGCAUUAGCUAGUUGGUAAGGUAACGGCUUACCAAGGCAACGAUACGUAGCCGACCUGAGAGGGUGAUCGGCCACACUGGAACUGAGACACGGUCCAGACUCCUACGGGAGGCAGCAGUAGGGAAUCUUCCGCAAUGGGCGAAAGCCUGACGGAGCAACGCCGCGUGAGUGAUGAAGGUCUUCGGAUCGUAAAACUCUGUUAUUAGGGAAGAACAAAUGUGUAAGUAACUGUGCACGUCUUGACGGUACCUAAUCAGAAAGCCACGGCUAACUACGUG
This 497-nucleotide ribosomal RNA is filed under the name uncultured bacterium. RNAcentral's name for it is "partial 16S ribosomal RNA". It matches the Rfam family "Bacterial small subunit ribosomal RNA", at positions 28 to 507 of the family's 1533-position model. The record is from RNAcentral.